This 452-nucleotide ribosomal RNA is filed under the name uncultured bacterium. RNAcentral describes it as "bacterial SSU rRNA". It matches the Rfam family "Bacterial small subunit ribosomal RNA", at positions 28 to 507 of the family's 1533-position model. The record is from RNAcentral.
GAUGAACGCUGGCGGCGUGCCUAACACAUGCAAGUCGAGCGAUUCUCUUCGGAGAAGAGCGGCGGACGGGUGAGUAACGCGUGGGUAACCUGCCCUGUACACACGGAUAACAUACCGAAAGGUAUGCUAAUACGAGAUAAUAUACUUUUAUCGCAUGGUAGAAGUAUCAAAGCUUUUGCGGUACAGGAUGGACCCGCGUCUGAUUAGCUAGUUGGUAAGGUAACGGCUUACCAAGGCGACGAUCAGUAGCCGACCUGAGAGGGUGAUCGGCCACAUUGGAACUGAGACACGGUCCAAACUCCUACGGGAGGCAGCAGUGGGGAAUAUUGCACAAUGGGCGAAAGCCUGAUGCAGCAACGCCGCGUGAGCGAUGAAGGCCUUCGGGUCGUAAAGCUCUGUCCUCAAGGAAGAUAAUGACGGUACUUGAGGAGGAAGCCCCGGCUAACUACGUG